UCCUGUGGCUGGACUAUAAGAAC
This 23-nucleotide non-coding RNA is filed under the name Cricetulus griseus (Chinese hamster). Lineage: Eukaryota; Metazoa; Chordata; Mammalia; Rodentia; Cricetidae. The record is from RNAcentral.